Molecule: transfer RNA, 68 nt
Filed under: Neomuscina inflexa
Lineage: Eukaryota; Metazoa; Arthropoda; Insecta; Diptera; Muscidae
Description: transfer RNA-Leu
Source: RNAcentral
UCUAANUGUGGCAGAUUAGUGCAAUGGAUUUAAGCUCCGUAUAUAAAGUUUUGNACUUUUAUUAGAAA